UAAGGGCGACUGAAACGGGAACAGCCCAGCGCAUAACCUGGCGGUCUUCUGUGGCCGUCCAGGGGUGUUGCGUUCCGGUGCGUCCUUGCCGCCCGAGUUGCUCACCGCCUAAGUCAUUGCUUGAAAGCAGCCCCGAGGAGGGUGAUAGGCCCGUGUGGCGGCGCCUGUAAAAAGGGUGAAGGUGGCUUGGGCGGGCGGACGUCCACCGUAGAGUCGGGUUGCUUAGUACUGCAGCCCUAAGCAGGUGGUAAACUCCAUCUAAGGCUAAAUACUACCACGAGUCCGAUAGAGAACAAGUACCGUGAGGGAAAGCUGAAAAGGACUUUGAAGAGAGAGUUCAAGAGGACGUGAAACCGUUAGAAGCCUAAACGGGUGGAACCGCGAAGGUUGAACGAGGGGAUUCAGGUCGCCGGUGGCCGGAGUGCGGAGGGCGGGUCAGACAUGUUUUGAGGACGUGACCCGGCGCGAGAGUGCGGCCGGGCCCCGCCGCCUCCUCCGGGCCAUCCGGCGGGCUUACUUCUCCCUCGGGAAGUCGCCGCGACCCGUUCCUGGGAGCCCCAGGGCCGCAUCGCAUUGGUAGCCCGGGCCGUCGCAGGCCUGGGUGAUGAGCGAGGGCGGUUCCGUCGGCUGCCGGGGACGGUGGUGGACGGGGGCCGUGUCAAGCGGCCCCUCGCGGCGUGCAAGGGAUCGGACAUCCACCCGACCCGUCUU
Molecule: ribosomal RNA, 711 nt
Filed under: Lysmata amboinensis (scarlet cleaner shrimp)
Lineage: Eukaryota; Metazoa; Arthropoda; Malacostraca; Decapoda; Hippolytidae
Description: partial large subunit ribosomal RNA
Rfam family: Eukaryotic large subunit ribosomal RNA
Source: RNAcentral